GACGAACGCUGGCGGCGUGCUUAACACAUGCAAGUCGAACGGAAAGGCCUGCUUUCCCUUGUGGAUUGCGGGUACUCGAGUGGCGAACGGGUGAGUAACACGUGAGUGAUCUGCCCCCAACUUGGGUAUAAGCCUGGGAAACUGGGUCUAAUUCCCGAUAGGACUGCAGGGUGGUGCCUGUGGUGGAAAACGAUUUUCUAGUGGUUGGGGAUGAGCUCGCGGCCUAUCAGCUUGUUGGUGGGGUAGUGGCCCACCAAGGCGGCGACGGGUAGCCGGCCUGGGCGGGGGAUGGGCGACACUGGAACUGAGACACGGUCCCGCCCCCGACGCGAGGGGGCGGCAGGGGUGGGUAAUCAAUGGGAGGGAGCGGGACGGAGAGACGCCGCGGGGGGGAGGAAGGGCUGCGGUUCGGAGAACUAGCUUAUUAGGGAGGAAGAGAAGGCCACGUAUUUAGGGGGGUGUUGACGUUAGUGAAACAGAAAGCCCCGGCUAACUACGUG
This 500-nucleotide ribosomal RNA is filed under the name uncultured bacterium. RNAcentral describes it as "partial 16S ribosomal RNA". It matches the Rfam family "Bacterial small subunit ribosomal RNA", at positions 28 to 507 of the family's 1533-position model. The record is from RNAcentral.